This 107-nucleotide ribosomal RNA is filed under the name Pteropus alecto (black flying fox). The record is from RNAcentral. Lineage: Eukaryota; Metazoa; Chordata; Mammalia; Chiroptera; Pteropodidae.
GGCAAUGGCCAUGCCACCUUGAACAAGCCCGAUGCCAUCUGAUCUCGGAAGCUAAGCAGUUAGUACUUGGAUGGGAGACCACAUAGGAAGACCAGGUGCUGUAGGCA